UACAGGGGGUGCAAACGUUGCUCGGAAUUAUUGGGCGUAAAGCGCACGUAGGCGGUUUGUUAUGUCGGAUGUGAAAGCCCUUGGCUCAACUGAGGAAGUGCAUCCGAAACUGGCAAGCUAGAGUAUGUAAGAGGGUCGAGGAAUUCCCGGUGUAGAGGUGAAAUUCGUAGAUAUCGGGAGGAACACCGGUGGCGAAGGCGGCGACCUGGGACAAUACUGACGCUGAGGUGCGAAAGCGUGGGGAGCAAACAGG
Molecule: ribosomal RNA, 253 nt
Filed under: uncultured bacterium
Lineage: Bacteria
Description: partial 16S ribosomal RNA
Rfam family: Bacterial small subunit ribosomal RNA
Source: RNAcentral